CAUUGGGACGCCGCGCCGCGCCGCCGCGCCGCCGAAAAAUCCCCAAAAAUUGGCGCCACCGCCGCCGAAAAUUUGUCGGCGUCGACCUCUGAUUUCGUGCAUUUUCAAUUUUUUUAUUUUUAUGCAGUGAGGGUUCCAUUGUUCGUUAUUUUUUCAGUACAUGUAAGUUCGUAACAUUUAAAAAUAUCUCGUAAAUUGAUAAUAUUUCAGUUCGGUUAUUUUCCAGACAUGGAAAAUAUCUGAAAAUGAAUAUAUGGAGUUGACACGACAAAGGAUGUCAGGGUUUUUGAAAUUAUAAAAUCUUGAUAGGUUGUCAGUACAGUUACUUUGUUUACGUCAAAAAAUUAAAUUUAGCCUAAAUUACGAGUACAUAACUGAGGAUGAGUUUUUGACAUGUUUUUAGCAGUAAUAGUGAAUAUUUUUUCCCCCAAAAAAAAAACACGAAAAGCAAAUAUUUACUUUCAGAGGGCUGAAUUUAAAAAUUCCCAAUUAUGGGUUAAAAACGGAAAUACGGAUACUGAGCAAAAAUGAAUAUAAUGAAAUAACACAUACAAAUGAAUGAAAUAAAUACAAAUAAAUGAAAUAAAUACAAAGGAACUGAAAAGAAAUGACAUACAUGCAAAAUAACUUAAAAUAAAUGAAAUAAAUACAAAUAACAAUUAAACGAAAUGAAAUAUAUACAAAUGAACUGAAACGCGUUGGAGGAAUAUUUUCAAUGCCUGGUAGGUAACCCAGGGUUGAAAAAACAAAUUAAAAAAGUUGAAGAAUUGGAAGGCAGAUCCCGAGUUUUCGUCGGAACUGCAAUCCACUCGCCUCAUAUGGGGGGAGGGGGAUAUUGUUGGUCAGCGAUGCCUGGUAGUGGCCAAAACCCAGGGUCGAAAGCUAUGAUACAAGAUUCAUAGUAGGGCAAACUUCUCGCUUCUUAUUAGAGGUGGAGGGGGUGUCGUUCGACGAUCGACACAUUUUUAAGAGAAAACGGAUAAAUUUAAGGAGUAAGAAAAUAUAAAAAGGCUUUGAAACAAUUGCCGAGUGCACAGGCAUUUGUUGCAUUCCCUCAAUGAUGCAUGGUUUGAGUUUAAUUAUUUUUUAAAGUUGAAAUUACGGUUUAUGCUUGAAAUUGAAAAUGUGUACCGGCGAUUUGUUUCACUUCAUUAUAACCUUUCUUCUCUGAAUUUGGUUUAUUGAAUGAUUUUAUUACCAUAUUUACUAAUCAAAUUCGACUACUCCAGGUUGAAAUUGUGUUGGGAGAAUUGAUCACUUUCCCUCACACUUUUGACUUGUUGAUAUGUGCAUCAACAUAUGGAACACGUUGGGUGUGCACCCACUCCCAAUGCGUUUUCACUGUGAAUGAAAAUUUUGCAGUUUUCUUAAAUCGUUCUACGGAAUAUUUCAUACAUUACGUUUGUAAGUUACCAUUUAUUAGAAAUUUUAAUAAUACUACCUCAAAUGUCAUGUUUCAAUAUGACUGUUUAAAUUUUCUGUUACCACUAUUUCUGUACUACUGGAAUAUGUAUGUAUUUGGUAAGAAAAAAAAACUAAGAUUUCAAUUACUCUCUGUCUAUGUCAAUUUAUUUGUCAUUCACAAAUUAUUUACGUGUUUCUAAUAAUUAUUAAUUAUUUUAUCAAUUUAAGUGACUAAUUUUUAUGACUCCCAUAAAUUUUGAGUAUUCUCCGUCUUCAGUAAAUCAAUUUAAUUCAUUAUGUGCAGAUGCAUUAUAUGUAUGUAUGUAUAUAUUAUACGCUAUGCACUUUUACGAUUUGAUUGUAAGCCGUUUUAUGUAAUCACUAUAUUGACAAACAAACACAACAUUCACACACUAAAGAUGUCUCAAUUACUGCUCUUGCAGUUCAAAAUUUACAUGCAAUUGGCAAGUACGCAAAUUGAAAUCAUAUGUAAAGCCACGCUAAAUUAUGUGUAUUGCCCAGUCACCUCAUUAUUCUUGACUUCUGUAUUAUUUGAUGCGAUAAUUUAAUCUAUCUAGUGUGUAUGGAUCAAGACGUACUCGGCCUACGUUUUAUUUCGUCCAAUAUAUCUAUUUCUACAAUUUUGAUGGGACAAUCCAGGCGUUUCCGUACAAAACAUCUGGGGCCAUCAUCUCUACACGAAUAUUUUGGCGACUUGCUACAUAGCCUUGUUACAACGGAUUUUUCUUCCUCACUUUCGCUCAUCCUCACGUCGUCCCGUGGACUUUAUUUUAACGGAGGGAGGAACAUGUGACUUCUUCGCCUUUAAAUCGCCUUCUGACAACAUUUUGUUAAAUUGUUCGUCGUAUGGUCGCCUACGUAACUUUCUUCGAACUGAUGAAAUUAUGUAUUUGAAAUCAUGCUAUUUGAUAUUAUAUGAUUGUAUUUUCAUUCAUGUAUGAGACUGAUACAUUAUGGUCGUGUUUGUUUUCAAUUUGUUUAAAUUAUAGACGUAUCUAAUCUGCAGUUUGGGUUAAGCUGGAUUUAGAUAUUAUUAUUGUCUUCCUUUAUGUAUGUUAAAUGGAAAUAUUUUGGAUAAUUUUUGGAGAUCAAAAUUGUACAAUUCAAGAAUCCCAACCGGUGUCCAGAUUGAAUUAAUGCAAAAAGUACUGUUAUUCUAACAUGUUAAGUUUCUUGACCAUUCUUGGGCAUACCAUACCAAGAAAAUUAACUUUCAACUUGAACGUCUACAAAGAAAUGAUGACGAAGAAAUGAAGCUUAAAUUUCGGAUAAUUUAAACUAAAUAAUUCAGGUUUUUAUACUAACUUUACUAACCCAUUAGUUACAAUAAUGAGCUUGAAGGGACCAAGCUCACAAUUAGAAAGAGGGAAUGUUGCGUGUAGCAAAUCUAUGUAAUGUUCUCGCGUAAAUCGGAUGGGUGCAUCCGAUUUGCAUAAGAACUCGGGGAUACAAGAGGAGAGACCAAAAUAGAAUUUUGGGCUCUCCUCUCUCCCGAAAUGCGAAAAGAGAGUCAGUCGUAGUUUAGAGUAGAUUAAGAGUAGUAUAAGUAGUUAAGUUACGGUAGUUUAGGUUAGAUUUAGUUAAGUUCGUAAGAAAUAAAGCUUGGGCAUUUUCUAGCCCUACCUUUGGUAAAAGAUUAAAGUGCUUGUGGAAUUUAUUGGAGCUACCAGGAUUGGCGCCUGGUUUUUGUGCUAUAAAAUAAUCCCAAUUGUGGUUUUUUUGUUGGAAACUUGGAUUCAAUUGUGAACAAGUCCAAGGAAUGGAGUGAGGUGGUUAUAUUUGAGAGUGUACACAAUGUGUCGAGAUCAAUCCAAAAAAUGUCAUCACUGAAGUCAAGCUUGAUUGCAGUAUGGUCAUGAAACUCCACUUCUACUUCCACUUCGACUUCACUUCCACAGAAGUGGCUUGUUCUGCGACAGAGAUGAAACUCCACUUUCACUUCUCCCCAGAUAACCACAAUCAGAUAACCACUACCAGAUAAGACCAUCGGACGACCACUUCAUCAGACAACCACUCCCAGAUAAGACCAUCAGACGACCACUCCAUCAGACAACCACUCCCAGAUAAGACCAUCGGACGACCACUCCCAGAUAAGACCAUCGGACGACCACUCCAUCAGACAACCACUCCCAGAUAAGACCAUCGGACGACCACUCCCAGAUAAGACCAUCGGACGACCACUCCAUCAGACAACCACUCCCAGAUAAGACCAUCGGACGACCACUCCAUCAGACAACCACUCUCAGAUAAGACCAUCGGACGACAACUCCCUGAUAACCACCGUUAGACAACCACUCCCAGAUAAGACCAUCUUGGAAACAAAUCUUGGAAAAAAAUGUGGUCCAAAAUACCUGUCCCUUGUGACCAAGCGUGCAUCCAAAUAACCCCACGAGAAGUUUGCACUCAGGAAUUUUUUCAUCCCCACACUAGUGGGGAUGUAAAAUUUGUAGACAAGAUGAUUCUUAAAUCAAAAUUUCCGAAAAUCCACCCGUUUGGUUAACGAAAAUGGAGCAAUUUCGCAGCCCUGCAUUACGGAUAAGACCAUGACCGCAUCUCUUUACCGAUCAAGCCGUAUAAACUACCGAUUAAUUACUUUGAUAAGUGGUCAUCAAAAAACCCAAGUCUUAUUUUGUGCUCACAAGGUUACUUGCCAAUAUCGUCAAGACGUUUCUGGCUACUUCAAGGAGAAAACAAUUGAUUUUUUGUCUAAAUUGGAAAAGCGUCCAAUGUCCCCCAAGCAAGAAGUAUUUAAAGAUUUUGGACCUUUUGGAAAAGAUAUUACUUAAGACGACCGACUACACGGAAAAACCCGUUAUGUUUUCGACCUGUCAUGGGUCAAAGCUGACGAGUGCGAGGAGACAGUCGGGAAAUUCCAUAAUUAACCAUACGUGGAAAAACCGACCAGAAAUUGAUUACAAAGAAAUGCGCACGUGUCGGGAAAGAUUGUGUGGAUCCUGAGGACUGUUGCACAAAUGAUUGCAACCCAGAUACCAAGAAAUGUGGCUGUCUAUCGGAUGGGAGUGGUUGUAAAUUUGGCUACGAUUGCUGCUCUAAAAUCUGUGACUAUGGGAGCUGCAGCAAUAAAAGGUCCACAGUGGAGUAUCGGGGUGGUGGAAAAGUUGGGAGAUAAAUAAAGGAAUGGUCAAUCGACUAGUAUAUUUUAUCACUUGAUAAUCACAUUUAAUCAAGGUCGUGACCUUUUUCUAGUGAAAUAAAUUGUAUGCAACUUUAGCAACAAUAAAAUCAUGAAUCAAAUACUGAAUGGUAUUAUAACUCUAUUAAACUUUUCUUGAAUCUGUUGCAAUGGUAACUUUUUGGGAGAGAAUCAUAUGAACUUUGUACUGAGAACUGAAAAGCAUAUUUUGACGGAAUUUUAUUGAAAUUAAAUAAAUACAUGGCAUUGUAAAAGUCAGAUGAUUAUAUUGGAUAUGAGCAGAUCACUUUCUUUAAAUUAUAUGGAUGUCAUUAUUAGCUCACCCUGCGUAGCAUGGGAGCUAUUGAAUUUCUCUUGUCCGGCUGUCCGUCUGUCUGUCUGUCUGUUCACGAGCUUUUUUUUACAUCAGGUAAUAAAAAAUCCCCUUGACCAGUAUUGAAUAUCUUAGUCGCACCAUUGGUAUAAAACAACCCGUGACGCAAUUGGUGCACAUCAAAUCAGAACAUCGAUUGAGAAAAGACUACAAUUUUGGAAUUACUAGCACCUUUGGGGUUGAACAAUCGGUUAUGCAAAAUGGUGCCAAUAUAUUGGGAUAAAUUGAAAAAUGCACCAAGA
This is a long non-coding RNA of Folsomia candida, 5194 nucleotides long. RefSeq lists it as uncharacterized. The record is from RefSeq and is a predicted model, not a curated record. Lineage: Eukaryota; Metazoa; Arthropoda; Collembola; Entomobryomorpha; Isotomidae. The transcript is spliced from 4 exons.